RNAcentral lists this ribosomal RNA (428 nucleotides) under uncultured bacterium. Its description in RNAcentral is "bacterial SSU rRNA". It matches the Rfam family "Bacterial small subunit ribosomal RNA", at positions 355 to 775 of the family's 1533-position model. The record is from RNAcentral.
UGGGGAAUCUUGCGCAAUGCGCGAAAGCGUGACGCAGCAACGCCGCGUGGGGGAAGACGGCCUUCGGGUUGUAAACCCCUUUCAGUUGGGACGAAGCUCCGUCCGUUAAUAGCGGACCGGAGUGACGGUACCUUCAGAAGAAGCCCCGGCUAACUACGUGCCAGCAGCCGCGGUAAUACGUAGGGGGCAAGCGUUGUCCGGAAUCAUUGGGCGUAAAGAGCGUGUAGGCGGCCCGGUAAGUCCGCCGUGAAAGCCCAGGGCUCAACCCUGGGAUGCCGGUGGAAACUGCCGGGCUAGAGUCCGGAAGAGGCGAGUGGAAUUCCUGGUGUAGCGGUGAAAUGCGCAGAUAUCAGGAGGAACACCAAUGGCGAAGGCAGCUCGCUGGGACGGUACUGACGCUGAGACGCGAAAGCGUGGGGAGCAAACAG